CAGUAGCCGCGGGAAUACAGAGGGUGCAAGCGUUAAUCGGAAUUACUGGGCGUAAAGGGCGCGUAGGCGGCAAGGUGUGUGUGAUGUGAAAGCCCCGGGCUUAACCUGGGAAGUGCAUCGCAAACUACCUAACUAGAGUAUAUGAGAGGGUGGCGGAAUUUCCGGUGUAGCGGUGAAAUGCGUAGAGAUCGGAAGGAACGUCAAUGGCGAAGGCAGCCACCUGGCAUAAUACUGACGCUGAGGCGCGAAAGCGUGGGGAGCGAACAGGAUUAGAUACCCCGGUAGUCCCUGUCUCUUAUAC
Molecule: ribosomal RNA, 301 nt
Filed under: uncultured bacterium
Lineage: Bacteria
Description: partial 16S ribosomal RNA
Rfam family: Bacterial small subunit ribosomal RNA
Source: RNAcentral